Ictalurus furcatus (blue catfish) is the source of this 1917-nucleotide RNA transcript. It is a transcript of the gene named KAT8 regulatory NSL complex subunit 2, with no coding region annotated. The transcript has 11 exons. Lineage: Eukaryota; Metazoa; Chordata; Actinopteri; Siluriformes; Ictaluridae. The record is from RefSeq and is a predicted model, not a curated record.
GUGGGCGGGACUUAACGGGACCGUGUGUGUGGCUUACUUAGCAAGCAGGCAUUCAAUUGGUGGGUUUGCUGUUGUAGGUAGCGGAGCUUCGAAGUCAGCGACUGUAGUGUUAAAUAUUGAAACCCGGAUGAACCGGAUUCGGAUCCACGUGCUGCCGUCCAGCAGGGGCCGAGCGUCGCAGGCCGCGCGCGCCCACGAGCCCCAGACGUGCGCGUUCACGCAGAGAGCGUGCUCUCAGUCUCGCAUAGAUGGCUGGGACUUCUGCAUCAAGCACAUCCUGGAAGACAAAAACGCACCUUACAGGCAGUGCAGCUAUGUCUCCAGUAGGAACAGCAAGCGCUGUCCCAAUGCUGCGCCAAAACCAGAAAAGAAGGACGGAGUUGCAUUUUGUGCAGAACAUGCACACAGGAAUGCUUUGGCUCUGCAGGCACAGAUGCGCAAGGCGUCCUCUGGACCGUCCCCUGAGGUCCUGCUGUCUCAGCUCAGUGGCUACAACAGGAUGGAGUUGGGCACUCUCGGUCAAGAUAGCCGCAGUGAAGCCAACCGCAUUCUAGACGAAGAGAGCUGGAGUGAAGACGAGCAGGACCCGGUGGUGCUCGAUCAGACGUGGAGAGGAGAUCCUGACAGCGAAGCAGACAGCGUAGACAGCGACCAUGAAGAUCCUCUCAAGCAUGCUGGGGUGUACACUGCCGAAGAAGUUGCCCUGAUCACGCGUGAAAAGCUCAUCAGACUCCAGUCACUCUACAUAGACCAGUUUAAGCGUCUGCAGCACUUGCUGAAGGAGAAAAAGAGACGCUACUUACAUAACCGCAAGAUCGAGCAUGACACGAUAGGCACCAGUCUUUUAACAGGACCUGAGGGUCUGUCCAUGAAAGAGAGGGAAAAUCUGAGGAAGCUGAAGGCGUUACGUCGCUACCGGCGGCGCUACGGAGUGGAGGCUCUGCUACACAGGCAACUCCGGGAGCGCAGACUGGCUGUUACUGAGGGAGGAACCCCACAGGCUCACUCGGUACGCCCCAGCCAGAGGUGCAUUUCCUUUGUGGAGGGGACGCGAUGUUCAAACCCCUGUCUGCCGAUGACCCGGCACUGCGUGUCUCAUAUUUACCAAGACAGUAGCCAGGUGUUGUUUAAGAUGUGCCCAGGCCUAAAGGACGUGCCCUGUGACAGGCCGGUGCACAUGGGUCAGUCAGAGGAGCCACGAUGCCCGCUGCAUCUCUCCCUGCCUCCCCCCAUGUACCAGCCCGAGCAGGAGCCACUGGCACCGGAGCAGCUCUCUUUAGCACCAACAGACAUGUACCUGAGUGCCGCCGAGCUUCAGCCCACAGAGAGCCUGCCACUCGAGUUCAGCGAUGAUCUGGAUGUGGUAGGUGAUGAGGAGAUGCAGUGCCCUCCGUCACCACUGCUCUUCGACACUGCCCUUGCACUGGAAGACCAGACCAUCCGUGCCAUUGCUGAGGCUCCUAUGGACAUUCUGACCUCAGGACAGGACCCCGAGCUCUCUGAGACGGACGACAUGUCUGCAGCAGACCAGUAGCUUGGAAAAGUGCAGUUUACGUGCUAAGGACAUGCUUUGGAGAUUUACAGCAGCUGUAUCAGAGGUAUCUGUAACAGCAGGAGAUGAGGAUGCCAUACAGAAUUCAUCAAAGGACCCUGACACAAUAACAACAGUCUCUACAUCCUGAGCACCUUGUGCACUGAUUUUCUCAGCUGUCUAUAGACUUUUACAGAACCUUCUGCACCGGCGUCCGAUCAAAAGCCAUAUUUAACAAAAGCCGACAUGUUGUUUGAGGAAACGUUGCACCCUGUUUAUAGAAAAUGUUCUGAAGUAUAUUCCAAAAGUGCUAAUACAUUAAUACUUGUAGCCCAUAUGAGUCUGUCACUUUCUUUGGAAAUAAAACAGAAACUAUGUCGUCCUGG